UAUAUGCAUAAUGAAAUUUCUCUUGAUGUAAAAAAGGCAAACCAUCACAAAUGUUAUUAAACUUCGUCUUUUAAACUUAGAGCUUUUGUCGACUAUUAUUGAAGCCAACUUUGAAAUAUUACCGUUUUUGCACCAUCCCAUACGCUUGUCGAUAUUGGCAUAUCCUACCGGUAAGUGAUUUGUCGGCUAUGUACUACCUAAUAUUUUUCGUAAUGAACAGAAUCGAAAGUCUGUAUGCUCUCAUUCAUGGUCCGCUCGGCUUGGUGUUUCCCGGAGAGAUUGAAUCCGAUACAAUGUUUAAUAUGGACAACAACUAUAGUAGAAGCUCAUUGAAGUACUAGAACUGGUUCUCACAGCUCUAACAAUAAUUCUUAGAUCAUACAAAAUAUUC
This is a non-coding RNA of Schizosaccharomyces pombe (fission yeast), 391 nucleotides long. The record is from the annotation of a GenBank genome assembly. NCBI's taxonomy places the organism in Eukaryota, Fungi, Ascomycota, Schizosaccharomycetes, Schizosaccharomycetales, Schizosaccharomycetaceae.